CUGCCUCCCUCCUGGGUCCCUUGAGUUCUAUGCCUGUGUUUACUAUGUAGUGUAUCACAAUGGGGGUGGCUGGUGGCGAUAACGUACCAAGACUUUGAAGAACAUUUCGCUGCGCGUGGAUGCGUGCUGUCAAAUAUUUGUGUUGUAACUCAAGUAUAUUCGGAUGAAAUUUGUGCAGUCAAUGCAAAUGAUACUUGGGAAAAUGGCAGUUACCGAACAUCUAGUUUCGCCAAUAGAUGCUUAAUGCAUUAUUACAAUUGUCUAGGAAAAGGCUUAUUCUUUCAUCACGGAGACGGUAACUGUACUCAAGAGGACUCCCCAUUUCUCACGGUUAUUACAGAAGCAUGGCGGACAAAGGAACAUUGGCGGAUGGAUACUACACUUUCUACUCCAUUAAUGAAGUCGACUAAGCGCAACUUUUGGGAUUCAAAAGAUUUAAAGCCAAUGCGAGAACUUAUGUAUAAUGUGACGUCGUUUUUGUUAAAAUCAUCUAUCACUAAAUUGAGUCACUGGUUUAGCGCAAAAAAUUAAAAGUUAUUGAUUAUACCUAAUAGAGUUCUUAGGUUUUCGCGGUUGUUACAUAUUGGAAAUUAAAUGUUUUUCUGGUCUAAAUC
Hyposmocoma kahamanoa is the source of this 614-nucleotide long non-coding RNA. RefSeq lists it as uncharacterized. The transcript is spliced from 4 exons. Lineage: Eukaryota; Metazoa; Arthropoda; Insecta; Lepidoptera; Cosmopterigidae. The record is from RefSeq and is a predicted model, not a curated record.